GACGAACGCUGGCGGCGUGCUUAACACAUGCAAGUCGAACGGAAAGGCCUGCUUUCCCUUGUGGAUUGCGGGUACUCGAGUGGCGAACGGGUGAGUAACACGUGAGUGAUCUGCCCCCAACUUGGGUAUAAGCCUGGGAAACUGGGUCUAAUUCCCGAUAGGACUGCAGGGUGGUGCCUGUGGUGGAAAACGAUUUUCUAGUGGUUGGGGAUGAGCUCGCGGCCUAUCAGCUUGUUGGUGGGGUAAUGGCCUACCAAGGCGGCGACGGGUAGCCGGCCUGAGAGGGUGGACGGCCACAUUGGGACUGAGAUACGGCCCAGACUCCUACGGGAGGCAGCAGUGGGGAAUAUUGCACAAGGGGCGGAAGCCUGAUGCAGCGACGCCGCGUGGGGGAUGACGGCCUUCGGGUUGUAAACUCCUUUCGACCGCGAGGAAGCCGCCUGGUUGGAAGGGUGGUGACGGUAGUGGUAGAAGAAGCACCGGCUAACUACGUG
This 494-nucleotide ribosomal RNA is filed under the name uncultured bacterium. Its description in RNAcentral is "partial 16S ribosomal RNA". It matches the Rfam family "Bacterial small subunit ribosomal RNA", at positions 28 to 507 of the family's 1533-position model. The record is from RNAcentral.